Molecule: ribosomal RNA, 468 nt
Filed under: uncultured bacterium
Lineage: Bacteria
Description: partial 16S ribosomal RNA
Rfam family: Bacterial small subunit ribosomal RNA
Source: RNAcentral
GACGAACGCUGGCGGCGUGCUUAACACAUGCAAGUCGAACGGAAAGGCCCUGCUUUUGUGGGGUGCUCGAUUGGCGAACGGGUGAGUAACACGUGAGUAACCUGCCCUUGACCUUGGGAUAACUUCAGGGAACUGGGGCUAAUACCGGAUAGGAGCUUCUGCUGCAUGUUGGGGGUUGGAAAGUGUCGGCGGUUGGGGAUGGACUCGCGGCUUAUCAGCUUGUUGGUGGGGUAGUGGCGUACCAAGGCUUUGACGGGUAGCCGGCCUGAGAGGGUGACCGGCCACCUGGGGCCUGAGAUACGGCGCAGUCUCCUACGGGAGGCAGCAGUGGGGAAUAUUGCACAAUGGGCGGAAGCCUGAUGCAGCAACGCCGCGUGCGGGAUGCCGGCCUUCGGGGUGUAAACCGCUUUCGCCUGUGACGAAGAGUGCGUGACGGUAAUGGGUCAAGAAGCACCGGCUAACUACGUG